UUGCUCAAUUUGGCAGCAUAUAUACUAAAAUUGGAAUAAUAUGAAGAUUAGCAGGGGCCCUGUGCAAGGGUGACACACAAAUUCAUAAAGUGUUGUGUGUGUGU
Small nuclear RNA from Pipistrellus kuhlii (Kuhl's pipistrelle), 104 nucleotides. NCBI's taxonomy places the organism in Eukaryota, Metazoa, Chordata, Mammalia, Chiroptera, Vespertilionidae. The record is from RefSeq and is a predicted model, not a curated record.